UACGAAGGGGGCUAGCGUUGCUCGGAAUUACUGGGCGUAAAGCGCACGUAGGCGGCUUUCUAAGUCGGGGGUGAAAUCCUGGAGCUCAACUCCAGAACUGCCUUCGAUACUGGAGAGCUUGAGUCCGGGAGAGGUGAGUGGAACUGCGAGUGUAGAGGUGAAAUUCGUAGAUAUUCGCAAGAACACCAGUGGCGAAGGCGGCUCACUGGCCCGUUCUGACGCUCAUGCACGACAGCGUGGGGAUCAAACAGG
Molecule: ribosomal RNA, 252 nt
Filed under: uncultured bacterium
Lineage: Bacteria
Description: partial 16S ribosomal RNA
Rfam family: Bacterial small subunit ribosomal RNA
Source: RNAcentral